GAUGAACGCUGGCGGCGUGCUUAACACAUGCAAGUCGAGCGAGAAGUUUUGAAAAGAUUCUUCGGAUGAAAUUUAAAAUGGAAAGCGGCGGACGGGUGAGUAACGCGUAGGCAACCUGCCCCAUACAAAGGGAUAGCAUUUGGAAACGAAUAUUAAUACCUCAUGAAACUUAACUAGUGCAUGCUAGGUAGGUCAAAGAUUUAUCGGUAUGGGAUGGGCCUGCGUCUGAUUAGCUAGUUGGUGAGGUAACGGCUCACCAAGGCGACGAUCAGUAGCCGACCUGAGAGGGUGAACGGCCACAUUGGAACUGAGACACGGUCCAAACUCCUACGGGAGGCAGCAGUGGGGAAUAUUGCACAAUGGGGGAAACCCUGAUGCAGCAACGCCGCGUGAACGAUGAAGGCCUUUGGGUCGUAAAGUUCUGUUCUAGGUGAUGAAAACUGACAGUAACCUAGGAGAAAGCCCCGGCUAACUCCGUG
RNAcentral lists this ribosomal RNA (479 nucleotides) under uncultured bacterium. RNAcentral describes it as "partial 16S ribosomal RNA". It matches the Rfam family "Bacterial small subunit ribosomal RNA", at positions 28 to 507 of the family's 1533-position model. The record is from RNAcentral.